Molecule: ribosomal RNA, 492 nt
Filed under: uncultured bacterium
Lineage: Bacteria
Description: partial 16S ribosomal RNA
Rfam family: Bacterial small subunit ribosomal RNA
Source: RNAcentral
AUUGAACGCUGGCGGUAGGCCUAACACAUGCAAGUCGAACGGCAGCACAGUAAAGCCUGGUUCUUACGUGUGGCGAGGGGCGGGGGUGUGUGGUGUACGGCGGACUCUACUUUGUCGUGGGGUAUAACGUAGGGAAACUUGCUCUUAUAGCGCAUCGUCCCUAGGGGUGAGAGCAGGGGAUCUUCGGACCUUGCGCUAGUGAAUGAGCAGAUGUCGGAUUAGCUAGUGGGCGGGGUAAGGGCACACCAAGGCGACGAUCCGUAGCUGGUCUGAGAGGAUGACCAGCCACACUGGAACUGAGACACGGUCCAGACUCCUACGGGAGGCAGCAGUGGGGAAUAUUGGACAAUGGGCGCAAGCCUGAUCCAGCCAUACCGCGUGGAUGAAGAAGGCCUUCGGGUUGUAAAGCACUUUCGUCGGGAAAGAAAAGAAGAAGGUUAAUACCUUGCUGCAUUGACGGUACCCACAGAAGAAGCACCGGCUAACUUCGUG